UAGGGAAUCUUCGGCAAUGGGGGGAACCCUGACCGAGCAACGCCGCGUGAGUGAAGAAGGUUUUCGGAUCGUAAAGCUCUGUUGUUAAGGAAGAACGAGUGUGAGAAUGGAAAGUUCAUGCUGUGACGGUACUUAACCAGAAAGGGACGGCUAACUACGUGCCAGCAGCCGCGGUAAUACGUAGGUGGCAAGCGUUGUCCGGAUUUAUUGGGCGUAAAGCGAGCGCAGGCGGUUAGAUAAGUCUGAAGUUAAAGGCAGUGGCUCAACCAUUGUAGGCUUUGGAAACUGUUUAACUUGAGUGCAGAAGGGGAGAGUGGAAUUCCAUGUGUAGCGGUGAAAUGCGUAGAUAUAUGGAGGAACACCGGUGGCGAAAGCGGCUCUCUGGUCUGUAACUGACGCUGAGGCUCGAAAGCGUGGGGAGCGAACAGG
RNAcentral lists this ribosomal RNA (429 nucleotides) under Bacteroidota bacterium. Its description in RNAcentral is "Bacteroidetes bacterium partial 16S ribosomal RNA". It matches the Rfam family "Bacterial small subunit ribosomal RNA", at positions 355 to 776 of the family's 1533-position model. The record is from RNAcentral. Lineage: Bacteria; Pseudomonadati; Bacteroidota.